AGAGUUUGAUCAUGGCUCAGAACGAACGCUGGCGGCGUGGAUAAGACAUGCAAGUCGAACGCUGAUUUACGGGUAGCAAUAUUCGUAAGUCGGAGUGGCGCAAGGGUGCGUAACACGUGGGCAAUUUGCCGUGAAGUGGGGGAUAAUUCCGCGAAAGCGGGACUAAUACCGGAUGUGACUAUUGGAAGACAUCUUUUGAUAGUUAAAGUUGGGGACCGUAAGGCCUGACGCUUCACGAUGAGCCCGCGGCCUAUCAGCUAGUUGGUGAGGUAACGGCCCACCAAGGCGAAGACGGGUAGCUGGUCUGAGAGGACGACCAGCCACACUGGAACUGAGACACGGUCCAGACACCUACGGGUGGCAGCAGUCGAGAAUUUUUCUCAAUGAGCGCAAGCUUGAAGGAGCGACGCCGCGUGGGGGAUGAAGGGCUUCGGUCUGUAAACCCCUGUCAUUUGCGAACAAACCUUUCUAUUGAAUAGAUAGAGAGCUGAUUGUAGUGAAAGAGGAAGGGACGGCUAACUCUGUGCCAGCAGCCGCGGUAAUACAGAGGUCCCAAGCGUUGUUCGGAUUCACUGGGCGUAAAGGGUGCGUAGGUGGUGAGGAAAGUUGGAUGUGAAAUCUCCGAGCUCAACUCGGAAACGGCAUUCAAAACUACUUUGCUAGAGGGUCGGAAGGGAGACUGGAAUUCUCGGUGUAGCGGUGAAAUGCGUAGAUAUCGAGAGGAACACCAGUGGCGGAAGCGAGUCUCUGGACGACACCUGACACUGAGGCACGAAAGCUAGGGGAGCAAACAGGAUUAGAUACCCUGGUAGUCCUAGCCGUAAACGGUGCACAUUUGCCGUAAGAGGAAUCGACCCCUUUUGUGGCGCAGCUAACGCGUUAAAUGUGCCGCCUGGGAGUACGGUCGCAGAUUAAACUCAAAGGAUUGACGG
This 932-nucleotide ribosomal RNA is filed under the name uncultured bacterium. Its description in RNAcentral is "bacterial SSU rRNA". It matches the Rfam family "Bacterial small subunit ribosomal RNA", at positions 8 to 916 of the family's 1533-position model. The record is from RNAcentral.